GGCCUUUUAGUAUAAUGGUCGUACAACUACCCUUCAAGUAGUCAGUGUCAGUUCAAUUCUGAUAAAGGCUG
This 71-nucleotide transfer RNA is filed under the name Hygrophorus russula. RNAcentral's name for it is "tRNA-Glu". It matches the Rfam family "tRNA". Rfam says of the family: Transfer RNA (tRNA) molecules are approximately 80 nucleotides in length. Their secondary structure includes four short double-helical elements and three loops (D, anti-codon, and T loops). Lineage: Eukaryota; Fungi; Basidiomycota; Agaricomycetes; Agaricales; Hygrophoraceae. The record is from RNAcentral.